UUAAAAAGCCGAAUCAUAGCUCCUAAAUCUCAAAACAAAUUAUUCCCAGAGAUCACACGCAUCAAUAUCAACAAACCCAUCAACAAUACUCAAUUAAGCCAUCAAUAAAUAACACACCCACACACACGUAUCCAUGGAUUAAUCGAGGAAAAAUAAUUUCAAAUUCAAACAAUAAAUUUCUUAAACAGAUCCUAAACUUUAUAUUCCUAUUUAAAAAUUAGAACAAAAAUGAAAAAAAAAAGAAG
This 245-nucleotide unclassified non-coding RNA is filed under the name Hevea brasiliensis (rubber tree). The record is from RNAcentral. Lineage: Eukaryota; Viridiplantae; Streptophyta; Magnoliopsida; Malpighiales; Euphorbiaceae.